UUGAAGAUAAUCUUUUAAUUAUAGCAUUAUCUGAUUGCAUUAAUCUGUUACAUAAUUCACAAGAUUAUUUCACAGAUAUUGCCAGAAAUCUCCAACUGGAAAUGACCCACACCUGAAAUAAAGAGCUUCAUGAUGAAACCGCGGAUGCUGUUUGAAAACAUCUUCUCUAUGAAUGUCUGCGAACUCUCUUCACACAGGAGGCGCACAUGAGCACAGCAGCAGCACGUCUGAACACGUCCUCCUCUUGAGUGACAGGCCCUGGCCCCUCCUCCUCCACCAAACAGACACGCCCCUUCUCACAGCGCACCACUGAGUGAUGCAGGCUCAGGCUCCAUGACAUCACCUCAGAAUCCGAAACAUUCUCUACACACAAAAAGAGGAGAGAAUGAUUUUCUGAUGAAGAUGUGAGUGGAGUUUUGCGAUGAGUGGUUGCUAUUAGGAAGUUUUUAUUGGAAUUAACAGAAACUUAAACAACAAACUUCAGUAUCCAAAAGACUCAACACACAAACUUAAGAACUUCUGUCCUGUUUACCCCAUAUUGAACGGUCAGUAUGUGUGGUUGCUGUAGGAACGGCCCUGAAUGGGGGUUUUGUUGUUGUUUUUGGACCCUGCUGAUCCCAUUCACAUGUUUGGCAUUAGUCCCAGAGUUAAAGAACCUUUACAAGAUGUUCACAAUACACAGAAAACUAAACUAGUAGUGAGAGACCCUUGGAAAGAGCUCACGAAUCUUCUAACUGUAGUGAAGUACACAGCUCAAGUUAUAAUAUGUUAGUGCUUUCUUUAUGGACAGCAUCUGCUGAUGAUUUUAUGUUUGUAAAAAUGAGCUGAAAUUGUGUUUACAGUAAUGCACUUACAGUACAAUGGAAGUCUAUGGGAAAUUCCAGAGGGUUUAUGGUUGUAAAAUCAAUUCUUCUGUACAAAAAUGUUAUUUGAGCUUGUUGAAGAAAAAUUCAUUUUGGUUGAUUUGACAUGAUUCUAUAUGCUCAUGAAACAUUGUUUAGUGCAUGCUUAACUUAGAACUGCUGUGCAAGUCACAGUGAAUUAAAGUGAGGGGCCUAAACGGAGACGAGGGGGUCAACUGGGAGAACAAAGGGUGCCUGUCCAUGACCUAGAGGGUCGUCUAGGCCCUAAAUAUAAGGGACAGCGCUUUAGAAGUAUGAUAUAGUGGAGUGUUUCUUUUUAUUUUCUUACCAUGUGUGGAAAAGUACAGCUGUUAGGAAUUUGUAACCUUGAAUGCUGAGGGAGAUAUCUGACCCUGGACGUCAAAACCUGUCUUAAGUGUCAAUUCUUCGAAAUUGCUGAAUAAAUAAGCCUUCCAUUGAUGUAUGGUUUGUUAGGAUCGGACAAUAUUUGGCUGAGAUACACCUAUUUGAAUAUCUGGAAUCUGAGGGUGCAAAAAAAUCUAAAUAUUGAGAAAAACACCUUUAAAGUUGUCCAAAUGAAGUUCUUAGCAAUGCAUAUUAGUAAUCAAAAAUUAAGUUUUGAUACAUUUACGGUAAGAAAUUUACAAAAUAUCUUCAUGGAACAUGAUCUUUACUUAAUUUCCUAAUGAUUUUUGGCAUAAAAGAAAAUCGAUAAUUUUGACCCAUACAAUGUAUUUUUGGCUAUUGCUACAAAUAUACCCCAGUGACUUAAGACUUAAGGUUUUGUGGUCCAGGGUCACAUAUAAGGUGCAGGGAACCCUCACUUUUUCGUCACACUCUGCAGCGACUUGUGUUUCUGUACGACUGUCUGACCUUCUUAGCAAAGAAUAAAACCUUUGAAAGACAACUGAGUGAGUUUGUCUCUUACAUGGUGAGAGUGAUUAUUUAAUUUGCCACAACAAGCUCUAAAGUUGUGGGAAAACAGUUGAUGAAGUUCUGGUUAUGAUCAAGUUUUUCAACUUUUUCUGGUAUUUAUGCGCAUCAAUUAGAAAUAAAUAACUGCAUUUACAUGGCUAGAAUAGGCGGUGACAUAUGAGAUAUCAUUUUGAACAGUUCGUAAGUGAUUUUAAUCAUGCUAGUCUCAUUUAUUUAUGUGUAAUGUUCAGUUUUGGCUUGUAUUUUAAUGUCCUGCCCUAUAGAUGUCCAUUGUAAGAUUUUUCUUAUUCAAACUGACAAAUGACUGCCAAUUGACAGCAUGCAACAGAAGCUGUCUAGAAAGCACUGAAGCCACCAGCUGAUUGUAUUUUUAUGUAGUAUGGUGUAAUGCGAUACCACGUUUAUUAAUAGAGCCUCAUCUCUGCACAC
Onychostoma macrolepis is the source of this 2228-nucleotide long non-coding RNA. RefSeq lists it as uncharacterized. The transcript has 3 exons. NCBI's taxonomy places the organism in Eukaryota, Metazoa, Chordata, Actinopteri, Cypriniformes, Cyprinidae. The record is from RefSeq and is a predicted model, not a curated record.